This 89-nucleotide small nucleolar RNA is filed under the name Salmo salar (Atlantic salmon). RNAcentral describes it as "Small nucleolar RNA SNORA49 (ENSSSAG00000071202.2, ENSSSAG00020068802.1, ENSSSAG00070007836.1, ENSSSAG00075060339.1)". It matches the Rfam family "Small nucleolar RNA SNORA49". Rfam says of the family: The snoRNA ACA49 has no identified RNA target. NB genomic sequence 1-nt different from published. Lineage: Eukaryota; Metazoa; Chordata; Actinopteri; Salmoniformes; Salmonidae. The record is from Rfam by way of RNAcentral.
CUUCCCUUCCCUUACUCCAGGGCCCCUCUCUUAUAAGGUGUGCUGGCAUUGACAGGGGAUACAGCGCAAUGGCUCUCUCGUUUGACACC